Molecule: long non-coding RNA, 280 nt
Filed under: Elaeis guineensis (African oil palm)
Lineage: Eukaryota; Viridiplantae; Streptophyta; Magnoliopsida; Arecales; Arecaceae
Description: long non-coding RNA (EGUI_LNC012604)
Source: RNAcentral
GAUAUCUGCUUGAUGCACCAUGUUGUUUCUGAGACUCCCCUGAACCUACCUUUCUUGAUGAUCGAUGUCAUGAGGGAAGCCUUGAACAGAUCCAAGACUCUCUUGCCAUAUGGCAUGGCUCUCACAAUAAUUUUUAGGGAGUCUGGAGUGAGUUUUGAGGAAAAAGUUAUUUGUAGACUGUCAUACACCGACAGCUACAACAACCACUCCCUUCGGUGCAUGGGGUUUGUCAGAGUAGAUGGCCGUUGGGCCAAAGGCCGUGUAGCUGCAGUUGAGGAGG